Molecule: long non-coding RNA, 1439 nt
Organism: Notothenia coriiceps (black rockcod)
Lineage: Eukaryota; Metazoa; Chordata; Actinopteri; Perciformes; Nototheniidae
Exons: 2
Source: RefSeq, a predicted model, not a curated record
UUAAGUGAAUAUAUUAGUAAUCUCAUGUGGUUUGUUUUUCAGAUAAACCUGCAGAAGACUCUAAACAUUUAUGAAUCUACUUAUGGUUAACAAAGGACACACAGUGAACAAUGCAGCGAUGCCGACGUGGACGAUCUGACCGUCCUCCAAUCAUCCGGCAGCAUCUGUGACCACGGGGACUCAUUUGACUGCCAGGAAAAUACAUCACAACACUUCAAGGACACUUUCAUUGCUACAGUAAAACAAUCAACAAGAAGAACUUGUUCUUAAUACAGUGGACAACAUAUGGACUUAAAUCUGCUUAAAUAGUGACUGUCGGAUCAGUGUUGUGUCUUUUUAAUGUGUGGUUUCUCUCGUGCAUUGCAAUACUUUUAUUUAGCUGACAAUGUUAUCCCUGGCGAGUUCUAAUAAGUGCAUUCAAUGUGAGUAAAGCCAAAAUAUUGCAAGAAUCAAGCAAUUACAUUAUCAUCACCAUGCUGAUAUACUGAAGGUGCCACAUUUAGAGACUAUAAGUGAUGAGAAAGUUUUAUUUAAAUUUUUUAAUAUCAUGCCCAGGUGCAGUUCGAACAGAUGAGUUUUCGGUCUGUGACGGAGGAUGUGUAGGUGAUAUGAUUGAUUUAGAAACUGUCAAGUAGUAAUCUCUAAUAAUCCAAUAAUAAUAAUGCAGAGUAUUUUCUGCCUCGAUGAAUCAGACAGUUAAAAGUUUAAAGAACACGGUGUAGCUACCAAUUAUCUUUUCUGUAUUCAUACUUUUGAAAAAGUAUGUUGUCAUCUUAAAGCUAAUGUAGUGUUAACUCCACACAGAUAUGACUGCUGUCGGCCCCUGAACGCCUCUGUUGUGUUUCACUGCCCCUGAACGCCUCUCUGUUGUGUUUCACUGCCCCUGAAAGCCUCUCUGUUGUGUUCACUGCCGGUCCCUCCAGCUGCAGGUUUUAACUGGGAAAUAUCCUGUUGAGGAACGCAGGCAUGCAUGACAGAGGGCCACUCCUUUUCAUGCCUGUGCGGAGCUGCUGAGGAGAAAGUGUGUUUUAUUCAGAGACUGAAAUCUCUCUAAGUGUGAAAUCAGUCGCAGUCUAUUUCGGAGUCUUUUGAUAAAUGAUUACCCGUCGCAGAAAAUAACUCUCUAAAAGCUGCUGCUGCUGAUAAGAUUUCCAUCUCUUGCAGUAGAUUAUACUUUGUGUCUACAGAUGCUGUUCGGAUGUUUUGUUUCCAGUUUUGGCUUAAAAGUGUUGAAUCUAAGCGCUCCUGACACUGAUCUUAGCGUCAGUGCAACUUUCUCUACACGUUCAUCAGUAUUUUGCAGCAUCUUGCAGUGUAAAUAUGAGAAUACAGAAUACCAAAAGAUAUUGUUUUUAAGGAAUGUAAAUAUUUCAAAUGGGCUGUAGCCCUGUUGUUGUUUUGCUGAUGAAGAUUUGAAUAAAAUUUGAAUUGAUAAAAUC